RNAcentral lists this transfer RNA (72 nucleotides) under Bos taurus (domestic cattle). It matches the Rfam family "tRNA". From Rfam's summary of the family: Transfer RNA (tRNA) molecules are approximately 80 nucleotides in length. Lineage: Eukaryota; Metazoa; Chordata; Mammalia; Artiodactyla; Bovidae. RNAcentral also lists the same sequence under 5 other names. The record is from Rfam by way of RNAcentral.
UCCCUGGUGGCUCAGAAGGUAAAGCAUCUGCCUGCAAUGUGGAAGACCUGGGUUCGAUUCCUGGGUUGGGAG